Molecule: ribosomal RNA, 429 nt
Filed under: Chloroflexota bacterium
Lineage: Bacteria; Bacillati; Chloroflexota
Description: Chloroflexi bacterium partial 16S ribosomal RNA
Rfam family: Bacterial small subunit ribosomal RNA
Source: RNAcentral
UGGGGAAUAUUGCACAAUGGGCGCAAGCCUGAUGCAGCCAUGCCGCGUGUAUGAAGAAGGCCUUCGGGUUGUAAAGUACUUUCAGCGGGGAGGAAGGUAGUAAAGUUAAUACCUUUGCUCAUUGACGUUACCCGCAGAAGAAGCACCGGCUAACUCCGUGCCAGCAGCCGCGGUAAUACGGAGGGUGCAAGCGUUAAUCGGAAUUACUGGGCGUAAAGCGCACGCAGGCGGUUUGUUAAGUCAGAUGUGAAAUCCCCGGGCUCAACCUGGGAACUGCGUCUAAUACUGGCAAGCUUGAGUCUCGUAGAGGGGGGUAGAAUUCCAGGUGUAGCGGUGAAAUGCGUAGAGAUCUGGAGGAAUACCGGUGGCGAAGGCGGCCCCCUGGACGAAGACUGACGCUCAGGUGCGAAAGCGUGGGGAGCAAACAGG